AGAUUGAACGCUGGCGGCAUGCCUUACACAUGCAAGUCGAACGGCAGCACGGACUUCGGUCUGGUGGCGAGUGGCGAACGGGUGAGUAAUAUAUCGGAACGUACCCUGGAGUGGGGGAUAACGCAGCGAAAGUUGCGCUAAUACCGCAUACGAUCUACGGAUGAAAGUGGGGGCUCGCAAGACCUCAUGCUCGUGGAGCGGCCGAUAUCUGAUUAGCUAGUUGGUAGGGUAAAAGCCUACCAAGGCAUCGAUCAGUAGCUGGUCUGAGAGGACGACCAGCCACACUGGGACUGAGACACGGCCCAGACUCCACGGAGCAGCAGUGGGAAUUUGGACAAUGGGGGCAACCCGUGAUCCAGCAAUGCCGCGUGAGUGAAGAAGGCCGUUGGUUGUAAGCGUCUUUGUCGAGGAGAACGGUGAAGGCUAAUAUCCUUGACUAAGUGACGGUACUAGAAGAAGUAAGACGACGACUAAC
This 475-nucleotide ribosomal RNA is filed under the name uncultured soil bacterium. RNAcentral describes it as "bacterial SSU rRNA". It matches the Rfam family "Bacterial small subunit ribosomal RNA", at positions 26 to 501 of the family's 1533-position model. The record is from RNAcentral.